This 695-nucleotide ribosomal RNA is filed under the name uncultured Alcanivorax sp. RNAcentral describes it as "bacterial SSU rRNA". It matches the Rfam family "Bacterial small subunit ribosomal RNA", at positions 28 to 714 of the family's 1533-position model. The record is from RNAcentral. Lineage: Bacteria; Pseudomonadati; Pseudomonadota; Gammaproteobacteria; Oceanospirillales; Alcanivoracaceae.
AUUGAACGCUGGCGGCAGGCCUAACACAUGCAAGUCGAGCGGAAACGAUCCUAGCUUGCUAGGAGGCGUCGAGCGGCGGACGGGUGAGUAACACGUGAGAAUCUGCCCAUUAGAGGGGGAUAACCUGGGGAAACCCAGGCUAAUACCGCAUAAUCCCUACGGGGGAAAGCAGGGGAUCUUCGGACCUUGUGCUGAUGGAUGAGCUCGCGUCGGAUUAGCUUGUUGGUGAGGUAAUGGCUCACCAAGGCGACGAUCCGUAGCUGGUCUUAGAGGAUGAUCAGCCACACCGGGACUGAGACACGGCCCGGACUCCUACGGGAGGCAGCAGUGGGGAAUCUUGGACAAUGGGGGCAACCCUGAUCCAGCCAUGCCGCGUGUGUGAAGAAGGCCUUCGGGUUGUAAAGCACUUUCAGUAGGGAGGAAGGCUUAUCCUUAAUACGGAUGAGUACUUGACGUUACCUACAGAAGAAGCACCGGCUAAUUUCGUGCCAGCAGCCGCGGUAAUACGAAAGGUGCGAGCGUUAAUCGGAAUUACUGGGCGUAAAGCGCGCGUAGGCGGUUUGCUAGGUCAGAUGUGAAAGCCCCGGGCUCAACCUGGGAACUGCAUUUGAAACUGGCAGGCUAGAAUGCAGUAGAGGGAGGUGGAAUUUCCGGUGUAGCGGUGAAAUGCGUAGAGAUCGGAAGGAACACCAGUG